Molecule: non-coding RNA, 1753 nt
Organism: Oryctolagus cuniculus (rabbit)
Lineage: Eukaryota; Metazoa; Chordata; Mammalia; Lagomorpha; Leporidae
Source: RefSeq, a predicted model, not a curated record
UCAAGCAUCACACUUGGAACUGCAAGAACACAGAUUCCAGAAGGCUGUGAAGCCCUUGUACACCAAGACAAGCUAACUUGGUUGUGGGGUGGCUCCAUCAUUGUCCCUUUGGACGCUACCCCACAUAGCCCUGCAGCUGCAGUGUGCAGGCUGACCACCUCUGAAUCCAAUAAUCAGAUCGCCAGGCAAUGGAGCUGAGGAAACCUUUUGAAAGGGGGCUGUGACAUUAUUACUAGCAGGUUUGUGACACAGAAAGGUUGUUCUCAUCAAGAUGUGUCAGAUGGACUGGAGAAGGAAAAGGCAUGACAAAAGACCGGUGUAUGCAGAAGGUGUGAGAAAUGAACAGAUGAGAAAUACUAUGAUCAUACAGCAGAGAGGGUUACACAAGGAAAGGCAAGAAUUCUAGAGAAAACAUUUCAUCACUCUUAAACAGAAACACAAAAGGAGAAUUUGCUUAUCUUCCUCUAGAGGCUGAGGUAUCUGAAUAUGAUCACUCUAGUUGCAAGUGAAAUCUAACUACACAUGAGGGGAGACAACAGACACCAGACUUGUCACAUCAGGCAGAGUCAAGAGAAGCACCUCAACUUCUCCUUACCUGAGGAAGUCCUGUGCAUUAUGACAAAACCAAAAGAUGAAGAUCCCCUGCUUGCUGGAUCACUAGGUACAGAUACUCUUGCUGAGGUCACCUGAUGUUCCACAGCCACUGCACACCCAGGAAAUAAACAUUCAUUAAGCCACUGAGACAUGGGGACUGUUUGCUAUCACUGCAUAACUUUCUUCUCUUUUUACAAGGAAAAUGACUAGAAAGCUAGGAGAGUGACAAGAGAGCAGCAAAACUGAGGGGAGGUUUGUGUUUUUAGUUUUUGAUUUUUCAGAUGUCUAUGGUGAGGGAGACCCAUGCACAUUUGUUGGGAAAGUAGAAAGAGCCAGUAGAGAGGAAGCAGCUGGAACUCACAGAGCAAUGUUGUAAAGAAAGCAGAAAACAUGGUAAUACAUGGGCCAAGAGGGAAGUCUCUGCCCUUUCUCUUCCAAGAGAAGGAUGAAAAAUCCAGACCCUGGAUGGGGAUCCGGUAGUUGCAGCUGGAGAGGCAAGUUGAGAAAACCCACCCUCAUCAGCCUGUGCACUUGACUUCUGAGUGAGACAAGCAGAGGCUGGAAUUUGGAAUCCUGGCUGUGGAGCAAUUUCAAGAGAUGACGAGCGUCUACGACUGAAAUAACCAUGCAUGGGAUGAUCGCCUUUGUGUAUCAGCCUGCUGGCAGCUGUCCAUGGAGGAUGACUGGCAAGGACUGGCACAGACUGCAUUUCAUUCCUCUGGUUUAAAUUCUAUAGGCAUUUCUUAAACAGAAACAUCAUUAUUUUAAAAGUCAUGCCCAGAAAGAGUUAAAACUAUUCCUUUUCCAAGUUCUGGUCCCCCACCCCCACUGUUUCCCCAUGUCCUUUAACUAAAUUAGCUAUUCCACUGACAAGCCAGUGCUGGUCUCCUCACACAACAACACAUGCUGUGCUUUCUUUGUAGUGCACUCAUGAUGAACUUUGAGCCACACAUCUGCCAAAGAGAAGGAACUCUUAUUCCCAAAUGGCUGACAUUAGCUGAGGAUUCUGGGUUCACCUCUCUCUACCAUGGCAUAUUUUUCUUAGACAGACUCUUGGAGAAUCAGAGGAAUAGAUUUAGUUAUUUUGUCUUAAUUUCAUUACGCUGCAUCCUCAACUACUCUUUUUUCCAUCCCCUUGAUGUUAUUCUAAGGGAUAAAA